RNAcentral lists this ribosomal RNA (595 nucleotides) under Trichoderma harzianum. Its description in RNAcentral is "eukaryotic LSU rRNA". The stretch from base 202 to 355 matches the Rfam family "5.8S ribosomal RNA". Lineage: Eukaryota; Fungi; Ascomycota; Sordariomycetes; Hypocreales; Hypocreaceae. The record is from RNAcentral.
GUCCUUUAUUUCUCCCGGAGCUCAACCAUGUGAACGUUACCAAACUGUUGCCUCGGCGGGAUCUCUGCCCGGGAGCGCGCAGCCCCGGACCAAGGCGCCCGCCGGAGGACCAACCAAAACUCUUUUUGUAUACCCCCUCGCGGGUUUUUUAUAAUCUGAGCCUUCUCGGCGCCUCUCGUAGGCGUUUCGAAAAUGAAUCAAAACUUUCAACAACGGAUCUCUUGGUUCUGGCAUCGAUGAAGAACGCAGCGAAAUGCGAUAAGUAAUGUGAAUUGCAGAAUUCAGUGAAUCAUCGAAUCUUUGAACGCACAUUGCGCCCGCCAGUAUUCUGGCGGGCAUGCCUGUCCGAGCGUCAUUUCAACCCUCGAACCCCUCCGGGGGGUCGGCGUUGGGGAUCGGCCCUGCCUCUUGGUGGUUGCCGUCUCCGAAAUACAGUGGCGGUCUCGCCGCAGCCUCUCCUGCGCAGUAGUUUGCACACUCGCAUCGGGGAGCGCGGCGCGUCCACAGCCGUUAAACACCCAACUUCUGAAAUGUUGACCUCGGAUCAGGUAGGAAUACCCGCUGAAACUUAAGCAUAUCAAUAGGCGGAGGAAAU